RNAcentral lists this ribosomal RNA (253 nucleotides) under uncultured bacterium. RNAcentral describes it as "partial 16S ribosomal RNA". It matches the Rfam family "Bacterial small subunit ribosomal RNA", at positions 524 to 776 of the family's 1533-position model. The record is from RNAcentral.
UACGUAGGGUGCGAGCGUUGUCCGGAAUUAUUGGGCGUAAAGAGCUUGUAGGCGGUUUGUCGCGUCUGCUGUGAAAAUCCGGGGCUCAACCCCGGACUUGCAGUGGGUACGGGCAGACUAGAGUGUGGUAGGGGAGACUGGAAUUCCUGGUGUAGCGGUGAAAUGCGCAGAUAUCAGGAGGAACACCGGUGGCGAAGGCGGAUCUCUGGGCCUUACCUGACGCUGAGGCGCGAAAGCUAGGGGAGCAAACAGG